RNAcentral lists this ribosomal RNA (248 nucleotides) under uncultured Defluviitaleaceae bacterium. RNAcentral's name for it is "partial 16S ribosomal RNA". It matches the Rfam family "Bacterial small subunit ribosomal RNA", at positions 524 to 771 of the family's 1533-position model. The record is from RNAcentral. Lineage: Bacteria; Bacillati; Bacillota; Clostridia; Lachnospirales; Defluviitaleaceae.
UACGUAGGGGGCAAGCGUUAUCCGGAAUUACUGGGUGUAAAGGGUGCGUAGGCGGCCCGGCAAGUUUGAUGUGAAACCCAUAGGCUUAACCUGUGGCAUGCAUCAAAAACUACCGAGCUAGAGUGCAGGAGAGGAAAGCGGAAUUCCUAGUGUAGCGGUGAAAUGCGUAGAUAUUAGGAAGAACACCAGUGGCGAAGGCGGCUUUCUGGACUGCAACUGACGCUGAAGCACGAAAGCGUGGGGAGCAA